Molecule: transfer RNA, 71 nt
Filed under: Notochthamalus scabrosus
Lineage: Eukaryota; Metazoa; Arthropoda; Thecostraca; Balanomorpha; Chthamalidae
Description: tRNA-Ser
Rfam family: tRNA
About the family: Transfer RNA (tRNA) molecules are approximately 80 nucleotides in length.
Source: RNAcentral
UAGCUGUUUGGCUGAUGGGAAAGCAGGUGCUUUGAAAGCAUUAUAUAUAGGUUCGAAUCCUCUAAUAGUUU